AAUACAAUGUCAAUAGUCGAACGGUAACAGGAAGCAGCUUGCUGCUUUGCUGAACAAUGGCGGAAGGGUGAAUAAUGGCCGGGAAACUGCCUGAAGGAAGGGGAUAACUACCGGAAACCGUGGCUAAUACCCCAUAACGUCCCAAGAACAAAAAAGGGGAACUUCCGGCCUCCUGGCCUCCAAAGUGCCCAAAAGGGAAUAACUUGGUGGUGAAGUAACCGCUCACCAAGGCCACCAACCCUAACUGGGCUGAAAAGAAGAACAACCACACUGGAACUGAAACACCGUCCAAAAUCCUACCGGAAGCAACAAUGGGGAAUAUUGCACAAUGGGCGCAAGCCUGAAGCAACCCUGCCCCGUGGAUGAAGAAAGGCUUCCGGUUGGAAAGUACUUUCCACGGGGAAGAAAGGGGUGUGGUUAAUAACCCCCACAAUUGACCUUACCCGCAAAAAAAGCACCGGCUAACUCCCUGCCCACAACCGCGGUAAUACCGAAGGUGCAAGCCUUAAUCCGAAUUACUGGGCGUAAAGCGCACGCCAGCCGUCUGGCCAGUCCGAAGGGAAAUCCCCGGGCUCCACCUGGGAACUGCAUUCGAAACUGGCAGGCUUGAGUCUUGUAGAGGGGGGUAGAAUCCCAGGUGUAGCGGUGAAAUGCGUAGAGAUCUGGAGGAAUACCGGUGGCGAAGGCGGCCCCCUGGACAAAGACUGACGCUCAGGUGCGAAAGCGUGGGGAGCAAACAGGAUUAGAUACCCUGGUAGUCCACGCCGUAAACGAUGUCUACUUGGAGGUUGUGCCCUUGAGGCGUGGCUUCCGGAGCUAACGCGUUAAGUAGACCGCCUGGGGAAUACGGCCGCAAGGUUAAAACUCAAAUGAAUUGACGGGGGCCCGCACAAGCGGUGGAGCAUGUGGUUUAAUUCGAUGCAACGCGAAGAACCUUACCUGGUCUUGACAUCCACAGAACUUUCCAGAGAUGGAUUGGUGCCUUCGGGAACUGUGAGACAGGUGCUGCAUGGCUGUCGUCAGCUCGUGUUGUGAAAUGUUGGGUUAAGUCCCGCAACGAGCGCAACCCUUAUCCUUUGUUGCCAGCGGUCCGGCCGGGAACUCAAAGGAGACUGCCCAGUGAUAAACUGGAGGAAGGUGGGGAUGACGUCAAGUCAUCAUGGCCCUUACGACCAGGGCUACACACGUGCUACAAUGGCGCAUACAAAGAGAAGCGACCUCGCGAGAGCAAGCGGACCUCAUAAAGUGCGUCGUAGUCCGGAUUGGAGUCUGCAACUCGACUCCAUGAAGUCGGAAUCGCUAGUAAUCGUGGAUCAGAAUGCCACGGUGAAUACGUUCCCGGGCCUUGUACACACCGCCCGUCACACCAUGGGAGUGGGUUGCAAAAGAAGUAGGUAGCUUAACCUUCGGGAGGGCGCUUACCACUUUGUGAUUCCUAUGACUGGGGUGGAAAGUUUAGGUA
RNAcentral lists this ribosomal RNA (1462 nucleotides) under Salmonella enterica subsp. enterica serovar Typhi. RNAcentral's name for it is "partial 16S ribosomal RNA". It matches the Rfam family "Bacterial small subunit ribosomal RNA". The record is from RNAcentral. Lineage: Bacteria; Pseudomonadati; Pseudomonadota; Gammaproteobacteria; Enterobacterales; Enterobacteriaceae.